This 496-nucleotide ribosomal RNA is filed under the name uncultured bacterium. RNAcentral describes it as "partial 16S ribosomal RNA". It matches the Rfam family "Bacterial small subunit ribosomal RNA", at positions 29 to 507 of the family's 1533-position model. The record is from RNAcentral.
AUGAACGCUGGCGGCGUGCCUAAUACAUGCAAGUCGAGCGAACGGACGAGAAGCUUGCUUCUCUGAUGUUAGCGGCGGACGGGUGAGUAACACGUGGAUAACCUACCUAUAAGACUGGGAUAACUUCGGGAAACCGUAGCUAAUACCGGAUAAUAUUUUGAACCGCAUGGUUCAAAAGUGAAAGACGGUCUUGCUGUCACUUAUAGAUGGAUCCGCGCUGCAUUAGCUAGUUGGUAAGGUAACGGCUUACCAAGGCAACGAUGCAUAGCCGACCUGAGAGGGUGAUCGGCCACACUGGAACUGAGACACGGUCCAGAAUCCUACGGGAGGCAGCAGUAGGGAAUCUUCCGCAAUGGGCGAAAGCCUGACGGAGCAACGCCGCGUGAGUGAUGAAGGUCUUCGGAUCGUAAAACUCUGUUAUUAGGGAAGAACAUAUGUGUAAGUAACUGUGCACAUCUUGACGGUACCUAAUCAGAAAGCCACGGCUAACUACGUG